Molecule: non-coding RNA, 73 nt
Organism: Dipodomys ordii (Ord's kangaroo rat)
Lineage: Eukaryota; Metazoa; Chordata; Mammalia; Rodentia; Heteromyidae
Source: Rfam
GGGAAGGUGGCUCAGUGAUAAGAGCGCUUGCCUUGCAUGCGUGAGGCCCUGGGUUCGAUUCCCCAGCACCCCA